This 1435-nucleotide long non-coding RNA is filed under the name Canis lupus familiaris (dog). RNAcentral's name for it is "lncRNA (ENSCAFG00000050173.1)". The record is from RNAcentral. Lineage: Eukaryota; Metazoa; Chordata; Mammalia; Carnivora; Canidae.
CGGCUUUGCAUUAUAAGAGCACAGUUGAGUAGCUGCAGCAAAGACUGCAUAGCCCACAAGCCUAAAAUAUUUAUUAAUCCAGCCCAUCACAGAAAACAUUUGCUGACUGCUACCCCAGUGCCUUGGAAUUCUCUCCAGGUCUUCUGCGUCUACCAGACAGUGUCCUCCAGUAGAUUAAAAAAAGAGCGUGCACGAUCUUUUGGAGAUUUUAAUGGGCAGGUCUGUAAGGGACACACACAACUUCUGACCACGUCCUGUUGGCCAGAGCUCAGCUCACAGCGACAGGUACCUGCAAGAGCAGCUGGGAAAUGCAGCCUCGUUCAGGUAUAUUUGAGCAAAGACCUCAGGAGGGUCAAGGAGGAAUUGCUAUUGACAAGAGGCUGUGAAAGCAUAUGUGUCAUUCGGUUGGCGCCUGGUCCCGAGGGCUGUUUGGGUUUGCUCAGGACCCAGAGUUCGAGGAACUUUUCUUUUCUUUUUUCUUUUUUUAAAGAUUUUAUUUAUUUAAAUACAUCCAGAAUUUUCUAACACAGAAAUUGCUUUCUUUAGGCCGAAAAGCUUCUUAAGUCCAAAUAAAAAACGAACACCUGGAUGACAUGCUAUCAUGGGCUAAAACUUUUUUUUUUUUUUUAGCCUUGUAUAAGGCCUUUGGUUGGGAAAAAAGACAUUCUCGUCACUUCUGUGCGUAAAGGACUGAGAGACGGAGCCACACCGAUGGCUUUGGCAGCCCCGCGCCCUCGCACGCCUGUUGUAUGAUGGACUGGGAACUGCGUUGGCGCGAGACUGGAUUUCUUUUUUUUUUUUUUUUUGAGACUGGAUUUCUUAGGAAGUCCAGGCCACUGGCUCCGACGCAUUGGUUCCGCUGAAGUCCUCUGAGCGGCCCCUCCGUCCCCCGCUGGGUUGGCCAAAGAUGCAGCCCCACGCGGGCCACCGCUCUGCAAUGUGGAGAGUUCGCAGGCUCCCGGCUACCAUUUUUCUGCCUCUGUGAGUUUCUCUGGCCCCGACUGCUUGUGUGAUCACGUGGGUUUCUCUUUCAUUCAAGCCUCACGCGUGGCAACGGAAGGAAGAGGGAUCCAGGAGCAGAGAGCGCCGAGGGGAGCCCGGGGUCUACGGGUGCAAGACGGGCUCGCUUACCCCUUGAGACCCUGGAGGGAGAGGAGGCGGCAGGUUUCAGGGCGCUGAAAUGCUACCUUGGGAGGUGGUGAGCUCCCCGUGCCGGAGAGAUGCAAGCAGAGGCCGUGCGACCGUUCGUCAGGCGUCUCCCGCCGGGAUUGCUGUCGGGCGUCUGUGCUCAUUCCUGAAGGUCAGAGGCUGUGGGCCCCGCUGGCAAGCGGAAGCCUGGCCGGGCUCCUGGCCACCGGGCCACGCUGCCUGAAGACAAUCCUAAGUAAGAAGGGGAAUGUAAAUAAUCACUCCCUCUAAUUUAAUCUGUUUGUAA